Non-coding RNA from Anas platyrhynchos (mallard), 3530 nucleotides. NCBI's taxonomy places the organism in Eukaryota, Metazoa, Chordata, Aves, Anseriformes, Anatidae. The record is from RefSeq and is a predicted model, not a curated record.
CGACCCCCAGCCCGGCCCCGCCGCUCGGCGCCCCCUCCCCUUCCUCUCUUUCCCUCCCCUUCCCAGCAGGGCGAGACGAGGCAUGGGGGCCGGUGGCCGUGGUGGCCCGGCGGCAGGUGUAGGCACACGGCGGCAGCGGCACCCCGCGACCCUUCAGACCCUUCAGGUAAGGGCGGCCGGGUGGGGGGCUCCCACCACCGCCGUGGGGGCCGAGGAGGCGCCCCCGGGCCGCCGGGCGGAGGGCAGGGAGGCCGGGGGCGGCGGGGCGGGCCGGGGCGGGGCCGUGCCGCUGGCUCCCCGGGCGGCGCUGGGGCCCUGCCAGAACCAUUUUGGUUCGCGGGGUGGCGGCAGCGCAGCCCCCGACGGCCCCAGCGCGGGGCUCCCGCUGUCAAACCCGGCGCGGCAGUCCCCGAAAGGCUUAGUGAAGGGGUGUUCUGCCCGGCUAGGCGGCUGUCGAAAGUGUCUUAUUUAUUUUUAUUUUUUAAUCUUUUCGGCCGGCUGUCGGAGCGAGGGAAGCGCCUGCGCCGGCUGGGGCUGCGGCGAGCGUCGAGGAUCGCUGGAAGAGUGAAUUUCUCCUGCCCGAGUAACGGGGAACGGGGCAAACCUGCCGCGGCUCCCAGGUGGAGGUACUGCCAACUGUGCAGCUUGUUAUUCACGCGAGGACUCCUUUAACGUGUUUAACUGGGUCCUCUCGCUCUAGGUGGAUCUUGGAUGAAGAGACUGACCAAAUUAAAAAUAUAUAUGUAUAUAUAUUAAAUAAAGGGAUCUCAGAAUAUGCUUCUGUUUCUGUAUAGAGGAUAUUUUUCUACAUCUCCUGUCCUCCACCUUGGAUUUUGUUGAUGCAUAGUGUUCACCAACAAAUGCUAUUCUGUUUAGAAGACACCUUUUCUGUACCUCCUACAACUAUGGCUUAGGAAGAGUAUCACAGUGCACUUUACUCCUGUCUUAAGGCAGGGUAUGACUGUCUGGUGAUUGCAGAUUUUCAGGGAAUAUGCUGUCUUGAUUAUCAGUUCCUAGACAAUACAGUUUAGUUUUUAUUCCUACGAAGUGGUAGAUACAGAAUGCAGUGCAAGUACCAGGAAAGCACAGAUUUAGAGUAUUAUAUAUAGUGGCCCUGGGUCUUACAAAAUAAAAGUGUGUGUGUAAAGGAUAGUUUGCAUGUCCUAAGACUGUUUUGGUCGGGACUUCUAUGUGUAUACUUAUAAUAUUUUUCUCUCUCCUCUAAACUCUAUUUCCUUUUUUUUUUCUUUUUUUUUUUUUCUUCUUCUUUUUCUUUUUUUUCUUUUUUCUUUCCAACUUAUAUUCAUUAAUCAUAUGAUAAUGGAAUGGGUCGUGUAUUUCUUGUCUCAGAUUGGGUACAGGUUAAAUGGUUUAAAACUCUCAAUACCAUUUAAGAAAGCAAUUGUUUGUUGUUUUUUUUUUUGUUUUUUUUUUUUUUUUUCAUUCCCCUUUGAAUUUAUUAAGAAAUAAAUAAAUAAAUCAUUUUACACUUGCAUACUAACAUUUUGUAGAUAUUUUCUGACAGCUUUUUCAUUUUGAGAUAAGUUUUGAUUAUGUUGCUGAAUUUUGUAGUCUGUAUUAUGAGAGACCAGUGAGUGACUCAGAACAGCCUAGCAGUUGUGGACAGGCAGCCUUCUUUAUUUCCGAAAUUGCUGCAGAAGCACUAACUCUUCCAUGUUGGUUCAUGAAGCAGCUAAAUUAGAAUAGGUCUCAAAAAUUAGAAACAAAAAAUGACAACUCCAAAUUUGAAAGGAAAAUAAUUCACAAAAUUCCAUUUGAGAAUCAAAUUUUUAGUAACAGAUCAGAGACAAGUGAACUUUUUCUUUUCAGAUAACAGUUGCAUUUUUCAAAAAGCACUCCAUGAAUCAAAAAUAUGCUUUGUUUGGCCCUCUUCACAAACAAAUAUUACUGUUGUAAUGCAAACAUAGGCUACUCCUGCCUUGUAACUUCAAACUGGUAAAAAAGGUGAUUCCUGGUAAAACAACCCAAGCAAGAAACACGUGAAUCUGUACUGACAUGCAAGCUCGUUUUUUAUAUCCUUCACUCUGAAAACAAUGCAUUUCAACAGCGGAUCAUGAAUAAGUUUCAGUGUUGGUAUUAACUGAACUAACUAAAGCCCAGUUAACUAAAUGAAAUACAGCACCAUUCAUUGCAAAAAAGAGCAUGUUACAGGAUGCUUUUGAUUGUAAUCAGACAUUAAAUAAUGCUAUCAACUACCAGAGUGUAUCAGAAGAGGCAACUGUUUAGGUAUAUUUUUUAAGUGAGCUAGACAUUCCAUUUUGUCUCCUAAUUUAAACUGGAUUUAAUUCAAGUAAGAAUGGAUUGGAAACCCAACAUCCUUUUUCGUUCAACAUUCCAAAAUUUUUAGGUUUCCUGGACUAGACCAAGAAGUUGAAACUUUUAAACAUUGUGAAAAGUUUGAACUUGGCCCUUCUGAAAAAAAGUAUAUUUUAGCAACAGUGAAUAUUUUUGAUGCAGCUCCAACUUCAAUAAUGUUUUAGUAAUACACCUAUAGAGCCUAAGCAAUAAGCCUUAUCCUCAACAAACUACACAGAAAUCAGUAUAUUCUGUGAAGAUAGAUGAAUUAUGGCAAAAUCUCAUUACCUCUGCAGAAAGCAGCUGCACUGUAGAAACAGUAGUGCUACUAUACACAGACACUACAAAUUACAAAUACUGUAUCAUGAGAAACAUUCUCAAUAACUGCAUUUCAAGUAAGGUUAACUGGGUUUACUUGUUUUGUGGGUGUAUAUAUUUAAAAUUUAUGUUAAAGGUGUCCUGAUAUGUACAGAAGGGUGAUUAGCAGCAGAAAAGAGCUGAACAAGAACAAAGAAAAUUAUUCUUGUCUUUCUUGCCAAAAGCUAGAUUGGGCAGAAUUACAAGAAAGGGGAAGGCAAAGUCCUGGAGUGAGACUCCGACCUUGCUGGGUGUCAGCAUAACUACUGUUCUGUCUCUGUUUAGGACGAAGAGACUGCAGUGUAAUUGAGUUUCCUCUUAACAAGGUCUAUUUUUAACUUUUAUUUUAUGAACUAUAGUCAUUCAAAAUGCACAGGUAUUGUGCUUCACUGAUCAUUCUAACAAAUACUCCUUUUUCAUAGUGCAUAUACUCACUGCUCUCCCUUUGACACAGCACCAGAGGGAACGUGGAGGCCUCAGUGUGUUGCCCAGGAGAGACUUUACCCAGGAGGGAGCUUGGGAAUUCAACACAGAAGUGCUCCAUGAGGCAGACCAAGCUGCAAGAUUUUCUAGUGCUGAAAUACAUACCAAACUGGAGAGUAAGGAGAAACAAGAUGGAUAUAAUUGGGUAAGAAGUGGAAUUUGACUGACUACUUGUUGCCAUUCAAGAAGGAAAAAAGUAUUCAAGAAAGACAAGGUAAGGUUAAUAAUGGUACUAAAAUGGUACUAAAAUGGUACGCUUGUACUCGUGGGGGACUUCAACUUCCCUGACAUAUCCUGGAAGCACAACACAGCCCAGAGGAAGCAGUCUAGGAGGUUUCUGGAGAGAGUGGAAGAUAGCUUCCUGACGCAGCUGA